CCUACGGGAGGCUGCAGUGGGGAAUAUUGCGCAAUGGGGGAAACCCUGACGCAGCGAUGCCGCGUGGGUGAAUAAGGCCUUCGGGUUGUAAAGCCCUUUCAGUGGGGAAGAUAAUGACGGUACCCACAGAAGAAGCCCCGGCUAACUCCGUGCCAGCAGCCGCGGUAAUACGGAGGGGGCGGAGCGUUGUUCGGAAUUAUUGGGCGUAAAGGGCGCGUAGGCGGUCUAUCAAGUCAGGAGGUGAAAGCCUCAGGCUCAACCUGGGAACUGCUUUUGAAACUGGUAGACUAGAGUCCGGCAGAGGGUGGUGGAAUUCCCCGUGUAGAGGUGAAAUUCGUAGAUAUGGGGAGGAAGACCGGAGGCGAAGGCGGCCACCUGGACCGGUACUGACGCUGAGGCGCGAAAGCGUGGGUAGCAAACAGGAUUAGAUACCCCGGUAGUC
Molecule: ribosomal RNA, 442 nt
Filed under: uncultured bacterium
Lineage: Bacteria
Description: bacterial SSU rRNA
Rfam family: Bacterial small subunit ribosomal RNA
Source: RNAcentral